GGGGUACUGUAAGUGGUAGAGUAGCCUUGUUGCUACGAUCCACUGAGGUUAAGCCCUUGUUCUAAAGAUUUGUUCAACUUUGUUGGACUUUCUCUUUUCUUUUUACAUGCUGAAACCUUGAGGGCCGGGAUAGUAUCCUUUGUGCACUCGCGACAGCAUGUUACUUGCGUUCGAACGGGUAAGCUAACAACAACUUUGUGUUUUGUUACCUUUCUCGUUUGAAUCAUGAGUUAUUAUGAGCCUUGAAGGCUUAGAAGGAACUUGGUUAGCAAGCUCUAAACGCGCGCUGACUUGGAACGGUCUUUGCCUUGUACUUGAUAUCGACCUUAUGGCCGAUAUCCCGCAUAUGGUAUAGCCAAGAUCCUUGAAAGAGCGAGUUAAUGAGUGAUUUUCUGGAUCGUCAGUGAGCUUGAAUGCCUGCCCUAAGGUUGCCAUGRAUGAAAUGGCCUUAGGAGCUAAGUAAGCUAAGCUACGGUUACCUUUCUAGCCGUUGUAACCGUUUACUUAGCUUUCUAGGGCUACGUUCAAACUUUGAACGGCAACUGGUCCUGAAUCGAAAGGUUUGCUAUGUAAACCUUUAGUCAAGACCUGUUUGCAACAAAUUUGGUGGCUGCAGGGCGAGUUUUCAUUGAUUUGGCCUAUAGCGAAAGUUGGU
This 655-nucleotide unclassified non-coding RNA is filed under the name Armillaria ostoyae. Its description in RNAcentral is "partial contains 28S ribosomal RNA and intergenic spacer 1". The stretch from base 1 to 73 matches the Rfam family "Eukaryotic large subunit ribosomal RNA", at positions 3329 to 3401 of the family's 3401-position model. The record is from RNAcentral. Lineage: Eukaryota; Fungi; Basidiomycota; Agaricomycetes; Agaricales; Physalacriaceae.